Non-coding RNA from Daucus carota subsp. sativus, 134 nucleotides. NCBI's taxonomy places the organism in Eukaryota, Viridiplantae, Streptophyta, Magnoliopsida, Apiales, Apiaceae. The record is from Rfam.
AUCCCAGAUAAGCUAAAGAAUGGUGCUUAAUCUGAUUCAUAGGAGGCCAAUAUUAAUUCAUAUGGAAGUUUCGCUGAUAACUCCUUCCCUAAAAAUUCCCUAGAAGGUGUUUACUAGUAGCUUUCCAUACAUGU